AUUGAACGCUGGCGGUAGGCCUAACACAUGCAAGUCGAGCGGAUGAAGAGAGAUUGCUCCUGGAUUCAGCGGCGGACGGGCGAGUAAUGCCUAGGAAUCUGCCUGGUUGUGGGGGAUAACGUCCGGAAACGGGCGAUAAUACCGUAUACGUCCUGAGGGAGAAAGUGGGGGAUCUUCGGAUCUCACGCUAUCAGAUGAGCCUAGGUCGGAUUAACUAGUUGGGGGGGUAAAGGCCUACCAAGGCGACGAUCCGUAACUGGUCUGAGAGGAUGAUCAGUCACACUGGAACGGAGACAGGGUCCGGACUCCUACGGGAGGCAGCAGGGGGAAUUAUUGGACAAUGGGCGAAGGCCGGAUCCGGCCUAGCCGCGUGUGUGAGGAAGGUCUUCGGUUGGUAAAGCACUUUAAGUUGAAAGAAAAGGCAGUAGGUUAAGACCUUGCUGUUUGGACGUUACCAACAGAAUAAGCACCGGCUAACUUCGG
This 483-nucleotide ribosomal RNA is filed under the name uncultured bacterium. Its description in RNAcentral is "partial 16S ribosomal RNA". It matches the Rfam family "Bacterial small subunit ribosomal RNA", at positions 30 to 506 of the family's 1533-position model. The record is from RNAcentral.